This 253-nucleotide ribosomal RNA is filed under the name uncultured bacterium. Its description in RNAcentral is "partial 16S ribosomal RNA". It matches the Rfam family "Bacterial small subunit ribosomal RNA", at positions 524 to 776 of the family's 1533-position model. The record is from RNAcentral.
UACGUAGGGCGCAAGCGUUAUCCGGAAUUAUUGGGCGUAAAGAGCUCGUAGGCGGUUUGUCGCGUCUGCCGUGAAAGUCAAAGGCUCAACCUUUGAAUGUCAGUGGAUACUGCCGGGCUAGAGUCCGGAAGAGGAGAAUGGAAUUCCCGGUGUAGCGGUGAAAUGCGCAGAUAUCGGGAAGAACACCCGUGGCGAAGGAGGUUCUCUGGGACGGUACUGACGCUGAGACGCGAAAGCGUGGGGAGCGAACAGG